GGGUGAAAUACAGUUUUGGAAUGC
RNAcentral lists this non-coding RNA (24 nucleotides) under Arabidopsis thaliana (thale cress). The record is from RNAcentral. Lineage: Eukaryota; Viridiplantae; Streptophyta; Magnoliopsida; Brassicales; Brassicaceae.